RNAcentral lists this ribosomal RNA (253 nucleotides) under uncultured bacterium. RNAcentral's name for it is "partial 16S ribosomal RNA". It matches the Rfam family "Bacterial small subunit ribosomal RNA", at positions 524 to 776 of the family's 1533-position model. The record is from RNAcentral.
UACGAAGGGGGCUAGCGUUGCUCGGAAUCACUGGGCGUAAAGCGCACGUAGGCGGACUCUUAAGUCGGUGGUGAAAUCCUGGAGCUCAACUCCAGAACUGCCUUCGAUACUGGAGAGCUUGAGUCCGGGAGAGGUGAGUGGAACUGUGAGUGUAGAGGUGAAAUUCGUAGAUAUUCGCAAGAACACCAGUGGCGAAGGCGGCUCACUGGCCCGAUACUGACGCUGAGGUGCGAAAGCGUGGGGAGCAAACAGG